GCCCCUAUGGCGGAAUUGGUAGACGCGGCAGAUUCAAAAUCUGCUAUUCUUACGAAUGUGUCCGUUCAAGUCGGACUAGGGGUACCA
RNAcentral lists this transfer RNA (87 nucleotides) under Rickettsiales bacterium. Its description in RNAcentral is "tRNA-Leu". The record is from RNAcentral. Lineage: Bacteria; Pseudomonadati; Pseudomonadota; Alphaproteobacteria; Rickettsiales.